This is a non-coding RNA of Chlorocebus sabaeus (green monkey), 1816 nucleotides long. Lineage: Eukaryota; Metazoa; Chordata; Mammalia; Primates; Cercopithecidae. The record is from RefSeq and is a predicted model, not a curated record.
ACACCUUCAACACUGGGAGUCACAUUCAGCAUGAGAUUUGGAGGUGACAACCACACAUCCAAACCAUAUCAAGGACCCAUUUCAGUGAGGGGACCAGGGACAUACGCCUUCCCCUCUCCUCCACAUCCUUUAAUAUGGGACUCAGCAAGGAAAAUAGGGCUUGGGUCAAAUUAAAACCUGGGCUUAAUUUCAUGCUCCAGCUAUUAGCUGUGUAACCCUGGGCAAGUCACUUAACCCCCCCCAGAUUACAAUGUUACAAAUGAUCCCAUUUUCCUCAACUGAGACAUGGGAUAGGAACAUGUCCCGAGCAGAGCUGGACUGACGGUGCUAUCAAUGGCCCGACAGUGCCUGGUCACACAGUAGGCCUGGGGAGCCCUGACUUUUACCACACAGGGAGCUGUGUGCAGAGCUUGUUUUCAGCUGUGGGCUUGGCAUGGACCUGUCGGCAUCCCAGGGGACAGGGUCUCAUGAGGAUGCCUAAUCCCAGCUCAAAGAGGAGACCCCAGGACUCCAUCACAGCCAGUGGUGGGGAGUGGCUGCUGGAGAAGGGCUUCAUUGGAAUGAACACCUUUAAGCUCCAGGCCAAAUGCCCAGAGUGGGUUUGCAGGUAUGAUUGUGAGGCUGGCAUGGUGGGCCCAUCUGCAGUCCCCUGGGAUGGGACACCUGUACGGUAGAGGGCCCGGGUGGAGAGAAGACAAGGAUGUGGAUGAACCCAGGACCAUAGACGGCCCAGUUCCGUGGAUGAUUUUCAUCGAGGUGCCUUCAAGUCAGUUCACCAUUGGGCUUCUCAGCCUUUGAGAUACGCAGGUAAGAGCCACCUGUGGCAGUAGGGGAAGCGCUUGUUAAAGUGCAGAUUCAGCAGGUCUAGGGUUGGGCCUGAAAUUCUGUGUUCCUAACAAGGCUCCCUCCUGGGUAUGGAGGUCAGGUACUCCUCACCUCUCCUGUGUACCCCGCUUUUUGGGGGGUCAGGAGAAGAAGGUUCAGUCCCAGCUGCCACCACUCUAAAGUCUCCUAGAAACAAGGACUAAUACAGGUGGCGUGGGAGAGGACCCAGGCAAACGGGAGGUGGGGUGCCCUGGUGGGGCAGCAGUGGGCCCUGCAGAAAGCUUGCUGGAGGAGGGGCCUGAGGAAUUCAAGGACUUGUUCCAGGAACCCAAGGAAUGAGUGGGCUCUAAUUGCUGCGCAUAUGGGAGAUUCCAGGAGGAGCUGACUGUGGCGGGCCAUCCCAGGCCAUCAGACAACUUGUAGUGGAUGAAGAUGCAAUGUCCAUGGCCAGAAGAAACUCCCAUGGACCCUCAGGCCAAGGCUGCCAGAAGCACGAGGAAGGGGCAGCAUUGAGUGUCAUCAGGAAGAGGCAAGCACCUCUGAACUCAAUGGGAUCCUACACUCCUUUUAGGCCUGGCUUGAUGCUGACAUCCUUCAGUCCCAGGGAAGACCUGAAGAUCUCCAGGUCUUGAGGCCCCUGGAACACCUCCAUCUGAGACCACUUCAACAUGAUUUCUGUGCUUGAGGGAUUUUGGACCACGCUGUGUGUAUUCAGCCCUAAAACAUGGGGAUAUGGCAAAAUUGGUGAAGAAAGGACACAGGUGACCGACACCCGGUAAGAUGGGAUUAAACUGGGCCAUUUCCUUCUUGGGACCAAGAAGCAUGACUUCCAUGGUUCGAAUCCUCACAGAACCUAGCAGGUGCUGAGCCUGAAGUGUGCUGACCCAUUUCACAGUUGGGAAACCUGAGGCCCCACAAGACUUAUUCAGGGCCGGGAAGGAAGCAGAGUGAAAGAGGCUCCACCAUUUCCCGAGCUCUGCUUACCACAAAC